GAAAUGCGAUACGUAAUGUGAAUUGCAGGAUUCAGCGAAUCAUCAAAUUCUUGAACGCACAUUGCGCUUCACGGGACUUCUGCCCUGUGGAGCAUGUCUGUUUGAGUGUCAGUAACAUCCUCACACCCUCCCCUCUGGGGGAUUACGGGAGUGGACGAUGACGUUUGGCGGCCCUUUGAGACGCCAUCCGUUUAAGGACAGAGGAGUCACGGCCUCGCUGUAAGCCGCGACGUGGUGAAGUAAGUCUAUCAGAUUUCACUACACUACUCGUGCAGAGGGCGCGCUCUCCUUUGACAAGGGAAGCAGGCUUUCGGGCCAGCUUCGCACCCCAACAAUGACCUCAAAUCAGGCAAGACUACCCGCCGAAUUUAA
RNAcentral lists this unclassified non-coding RNA (372 nucleotides) under uncultured Lulworthiaceae. RNAcentral describes it as "sequence contains ITS1". The stretch from base 1 to 111 matches the Rfam family "5.8S ribosomal RNA", at positions 50 to 154 of the family's 154-position model. Lineage: Eukaryota; Fungi; Ascomycota; Sordariomycetes; Lulworthiales. The record is from RNAcentral.